GCAUCCGUAGCUCAACUGGAUAGAGCAUAAGUUUCCGGUACUUAAGGUUGUGGGUUCGAAUCCCGCCGGGUGCGCCA
This 77-nucleotide transfer RNA is filed under the name Alphaproteobacteria bacterium. Its description in RNAcentral is "tRNA-Arg". It matches the Rfam family "tRNA". Rfam says of the family: Transfer RNA (tRNA) molecules are approximately 80 nucleotides in length. The record is from RNAcentral. Lineage: Bacteria; Pseudomonadati; Pseudomonadota; Alphaproteobacteria.